CUGUGAUUGCAGACAGCUGGUUUUUCCAUUGUGGUUUGUUUUAGGCGUAAAAGUUAUAAUUGUGAUCGCAUUUAUAACUAUCAGAUUGACAAUCGUCAAUAUUAAGAAUGGCUCGUAGAUUUAAAAAGAAAGUAAAAACGGUUAAACAAAAAAUAAGAAAACUCGAUCGGGUUUCUAGAAAGAAAAGACAAAAAAAAGCACAGGUAUAUAAAGCUAAACAAUAUGUAUAUAACUUAGCCAACUGUCAAUUGACAGACG
This 258-nucleotide long non-coding RNA is filed under the name Mytilus galloprovincialis (Mediterranean mussel). The record is from RNAcentral. Lineage: Eukaryota; Metazoa; Mollusca; Bivalvia; Mytilida; Mytilidae.